CUAACUGGAGGACCGAACCGACUAAUGUUGAAAAAUUAGCGGAUGACUUGUGGCUGGGGGUGAAAGGCCAAUCAAACCGGGAGAUAGCUGGUUCUCCCCGAAAGCUAUUUAGGUAGCGCCUCGUGAACUCAUCUUCGGGGGUAGAGCACUGUUUCGGCUAGGGGGUCAUCCCGACUUACCAACCCGAUGCAAACUACGAAUACCGAAGAAUGUUAUCACGGGAGACACACGGCGGGUGCUAACGUCCGUCGUGAAGAGGGAAACAACCCAGACCGCCAGCUAAGGUCCCAAAGUCAUGGUUAAGUGGGAAACGAUGUGGGAAGGCACAGACAGCCAGGAUGUUGGCUUAGAAGCAGCCAUCAUUUAAAGAAAGCGUAAUAGCUCACUGGUCGAGUCGGCCUGCGCGGAAGAUGUAACGGGGCUAAACCAUGCACCGAAGCUGCGGCAGCGACACUAUGUGUUGUUGGGUAGGGGAGCGUUCUGUAAGCCUGCGAAGGUGACCUGUGAGGGUUGCUGGAGGUAUCAGAAGUGCGAAUGCUGACAUAAGUAACGAUAAAGCGGGUGAAAAGCCCGCUCGCCGGAAGACCAAGGGUUCCUGUCCAACGUUAAUCGGGGCAGGGUGAGUCGACCCCUAAGGCGAGGCCGAAAGGCGUAGUCGAUGGGAAACAGGUUAAUAUUCCUGUACUUGGUGUUACUGCGAAGGGGGGACGGAGAAGGCUAUGUUAGCCGGGCGACGGUUGUCCCGGUUUAAGCAU
Molecule: ribosomal RNA, 755 nt
Filed under: Klebsiella pneumoniae
Lineage: Bacteria; Pseudomonadati; Pseudomonadota; Gammaproteobacteria; Enterobacterales; Enterobacteriaceae
Description: partial 23S ribosomal RNA
Rfam family: Bacterial large subunit ribosomal RNA
Source: RNAcentral